UAAUAAUAACCGAUCAUCACCGAUCAUCCUGUUCAAAAGUUUACAUCCCACCUCCUCCCCGACUCUUAACGUAUCGUAACCUUCCCGAGCGUCAGUGAAUGUUUGCACUUUCGUAAUAGUCGUGUACGAGUCCCUCGGUCGUCCUCAGUGUGAGAAGAUGGAUCUCCACAUCCUAUAGCCGCUGUUGGAAAGGGGUCAGAUAUGCAGAAGAUGCUGGAAAAGCAACUUUCAUCAAAACUAUCAGCGCUCACUAAACAUAAGCACAUCAUGUCGUGGAUCGGCCAGCUUGGGGAUGGUAAACCUGUGCAUUCGGCUGCCUGCGUAUGUGCACGUGUGUGUUUGUCUCUCUGCCACACACACAGCACAGGGGUUUCCCCUACAAGUUGUGUGGAGGUCUUGGAACUGGAGCUUGGAAUGCUUGACCUAUGAAAAGCUUGACACUUCCAGACCAGGGUCCUGAUCUAUCCAAAGAGGUGCCAUGUAAAGUAGCUGAGUUCAGCACACAGAGGUUCUUCUCUUGUUAUUUAUCAACCGAAGAUGACAUAUUAACAGUGCCGCUAAUGAGCCAGCUCUUUCUAAAGGUCACGCCUCGGUUCUGACAAGGAAAACGGUCCAAAAUUCCCGCCAUAAUGAGUUUGGCUCAGACAUGAGUGCAGGAAGUGUGUGUUAUGGCAUUUCACAGCGCCUCCAUCCAGCUGUCUCGGGGCUCAACUGCUGCUUGCGUUUUGUCAGAAUACAUUUCAACAAGUGUUUGAACCCAGGAAUGUUUGAGAGUGUGUGUGUGUGUGUGUGUGUGUGCACUAUAGAUCACUCUAAGUCAUCAUACUGAGAUGAGUACGUGAUAUUUUUGGGUUGUGAGUUUUCCAGAAUGGAAGUUCCCUACCCUGUGGCAUUUGUGUGUGUGUGUGUGUGUUUGUGUGUGUGUGUGUGUGUGUGUGUUUGCUUUGAUCACUACUGGAAGGUUUAUCUAGCA
Molecule: long non-coding RNA, 973 nt
Organism: Ictalurus punctatus (channel catfish)
Lineage: Eukaryota; Metazoa; Chordata; Actinopteri; Siluriformes; Ictaluridae
Source: Ensembl